Molecule: ribosomal RNA, 693 nt
Filed under: uncultured Bacteroidales bacterium
Lineage: Bacteria; Pseudomonadati; Bacteroidota; Bacteroidia; Bacteroidales
Description: bacterial SSU rRNA
Rfam family: Bacterial small subunit ribosomal RNA
Source: RNAcentral
AGGGGCAGCAUGACCUAGCAAUAGGUUGAUGGCGACCGGCGCACGGGUGAGUAACACGUAUCCAACCUACCGGUUAUUCCGGGAUAGCCUUUCGAAAGAAAGAUUAAUACCGGAUAGUAUAACGAGAAGGCAUCUUUUUGUUAUUAAAGAAUUUCGAUAACCGAUGGGGAUGCGUUCCAUUAGUUUGUUGGCGGGGUAACGGCCCACCAAGACAUCGAUGGAUAGGGGUUCUGAGAGGAAGGUCCCCCACAUUGGAACUGAGACACGGUCCAAACUCCUACGGGAGGCAGCAGUGAGGAAUAUUGGUCAAUGGACGAGAGUCUGAACCAGCCAAGUAGCGUGAAGGAUGACUGCCCUAUGGGUUGUAAACUUCUUUUAUAUGGGAAUAAAGUGAGCCACGUGUGGCUUUUUGUAUGUACCAUACGAAUAAGGAUCGGCUAACUCCGUGCCAGCAGCCGCGGUAAUACGGAGGAUCCGAGCGUUAUCCGGAUUUAUUGGGUUUAAAGGGAGCGUAGGCGGACUAUUAAGUCAGCUGUGAAAGUUUGCGGCUCAACCGUAAAAUUGCAGUUGAUACUGGUCGUCUUGAGUGCAGUAGAGGUAGGCGGAAUUCGUGGUGUAGCGGUGAAAUGCUUAGAUAUCACGAAGACUCCGAUUGCGAAGGCAGCUUACUGGACUGUAACUGACGCUGAUGCU